Molecule: ribosomal RNA, 701 nt
Filed under: uncultured bacterium
Lineage: Bacteria
Description: bacterial SSU rRNA
Rfam family: Bacterial small subunit ribosomal RNA
Source: RNAcentral
CGGCGGGCUUACACGUGCAAGUCGAGGGGGCAACAUGAGGUCUAUGUUUUUAGAUUUCGAUGGCGACCGGCGAACGGGUGCGUAACACGUACGUAACUUACCUUUUGCUAGAAAAUAGCCUGAGGAAACUUGGAUUAAUAUUCUAUAACAUAGUAUUAUUGCAUGAUAAUAUUAUUAAAGCAGAUAUGCGGCAAAAGAUAGGCGUGCGUCUGAUUAGUUAGUUGGUAGGGUAAAAGUCUACAAAGACAAUGAUCGGUAGGGGGCCUGAGAGGGUGAUCCCCCACACUGGUACUGAGAUACGGACCAGACUCCUACGGGAGGCAGCAGUGAGGAAUAUUGGUCAAUGGAGGAAACUCUGAACCAGCCACGCCGCGUGCAGGAAGAAGGCCCUAUGGGUUGUAAACUGCUUUUGUAUAGGAAUAAAAAUUCUUACGAGAUAAGAAUCAUGAAGGUACUAUACGAAUAAGUGUCGGCAAACUCCGUGCCAGACAGCCGCGGUAAUACGGAGGACACAAGCGUUAUCCGGAUUUAUUGGGUUUAAAGGGUGCGUAGGCGGUUUAUUAAGUCAGUCAGUUGAAAUGUUGCAGCUUAACUGUUAAAACAUUGGGCUUAUUUGAUACUUGAUUAAGCUUGGAGUGAGAUUGGAAGUAAGACUGGAAAUGUGUGGGUGGUAGCCGGGGAAAAUGCUUAAUAUCUCCACA